RNAcentral lists this ribosomal RNA (306 nucleotides) under uncultured bacterium. RNAcentral describes it as "partial 16S ribosomal RNA". It matches the Rfam family "Bacterial small subunit ribosomal RNA", at positions 505 to 809 of the family's 1533-position model. The record is from RNAcentral.
GACAGCAGUAGCCACGGUAAUACGGAGGGUGCAAGCGUUAUCCGGAUUUAUUGGGUUUAAAGGGUCCGUAGGCGGACUUAUAAGUCAGUGGUGAAAGCCUGUCGCUUAACGAUAGAACUGCCAUUGAUACUGUAAGUCUUGAGUAUAUUUGAGGUAGCUGGAAUAAGUAGUGUAGCGGUGAAAUGCAUAGAUAUUACUUAGAACACCAAUUGCGAAGGCAGGUUACCAAGAUAUAACUGACGCUGAGGGACGAAAGCGUGGGUAGCGAACAGGAUUAGAUACCCCCGUAGUCCUGUCUCUUAUACA